CAAUAGCGUAUAUUUAAGUUGUUGCAGUUAAAAAGCUCGUAGUUGGAUUUCGGGUGGGACGCAGCGGUCUCGCAUUGCGUUUGUACUGCUGCAGCCCUCCUUCUUGCCGGGGGCGGCCUCUCGGACUUCACUGUCUGGGGGUCAGAAUCGGCGAUGUUACUUUGAGUAAAAUAGAGUGUUCAAAGCAAGCUUACGCUCUGAAUAUAAUAGCAUGGGAUAACACGACAGGACUCUGGCCUAUCGUGUUGGUCUAUAGGACCAGAGUAAUGAUUAAGAGGGACAGUCGGGGGCAUUCGUAUUCCGUUGUCAGAGGUGAAAUUCUUGGAUUUACGGAAGACGAACAUCUGCGAAAGCAUUUGCCAAGGAUGUUUUCAUUGA
This 378-nucleotide ribosomal RNA is filed under the name uncultured eukaryote. RNAcentral's name for it is "partial 18S ribosomal RNA". It matches the Rfam family "Eukaryotic small subunit ribosomal RNA", at positions 592 to 976 of the family's 1831-position model. The record is from RNAcentral.